UACGUAGGGGGCAAGCGUUAUCCGGAUUCACUGGGUGUAAAGGGAGCGUAGACGGCCAUGCAAGCCUGGAGUGAAAGCCCGGGGCCCAACCCCGGGACUGCUCUGGGAACUGUGCGGCAGGAGUGCGGGAGGGGCAGGCGGAAUUCCUGGUGUAGCGGUGAAAUGCGUAGAUAUCAGGAGGAACACCGGCGGCGAAGGCGGCCUGCUGGACCGCGACUGACGUUGAGGCUCGAAAGCGUGGGGAGCAAACAGG
This 253-nucleotide ribosomal RNA is filed under the name uncultured bacterium. Its description in RNAcentral is "partial 16S ribosomal RNA". It matches the Rfam family "Bacterial small subunit ribosomal RNA", at positions 524 to 776 of the family's 1533-position model. The record is from RNAcentral.